CCGAUAACUCUGGAAUAGCCUUUCGAAAGAAAGAUUAAUACCGGAUGGCAUACGAAUAUCGCAUGAUAUUUUUAUUAAAGAAUUUCGGUUAUCGAUGGGGAUGCGUUCCAUUAGUUUGUUGGCGGGGUAACGGCCCACCAAGACUACGAUGGAUAGGGGUUCUGAGAGGAAGGUCCCCCACAUUGGAACUGAGACACGGUCCAAACUCCUACGGGAGGCAGCAGUGAGGAAUAUUGGUCAAUGGGCGAGAGCCUGAACCAGCCAAGUAGCGUGAAGGAUGAAGGCCCUAUGGGUUGUAAACUUCUUUUAUAUGGGAAUAAAGUUUUCCACGUGUGGAAUUUUGUAUGUACCAUAUGAAUAAGGAUCGGCUAACUCCGUGCCAGCAGCCGCGGUAAUACGGAGGAUCCGAGCGUUAUCCGGAUUUAUUGGGUUUAAAGGGAGCGUAGGUGGAUUGUUAAGUCAGUUGUGAAAGUUUGCGGCUCAACCGUAAAAUUGCAGUUGAAACUGGCAGUCUUGAGUACAGUAGAGGUGGGCGGAAUUCGUGGUGUAGCGGUGAAAUGCUUAGAUAUCACGAAGAACUCCGAUUGCGAAGGCAGCUCACUAGACUGUUACUGACACUGAUGCUCGAAAGUGUGGGUAUCAAACAGGAUUAGAUACCCUGGUAGUCCACACAGUAAACGAUGAAUACUCGCUGUUUGCGAUAUACAGUAAGCGGCC
RNAcentral lists this ribosomal RNA (717 nucleotides) under uncultured bacterium. Its description in RNAcentral is "bacterial SSU rRNA". It matches the Rfam family "Bacterial small subunit ribosomal RNA", at positions 129 to 848 of the family's 1533-position model. The record is from RNAcentral.